GUGAAUUCAGAAAUUGCACUUUUCUAAAAGUAGAUAUGAUAGCACCAUUUGGCCAACAGAUCCAAAAAGUGAAUUCAAUGAUAGGCAGAGACAAAGUCCCUGUCAACCCUACGCAAAGUCUUUAAAUUUCAGCACUAUAAUCACAGAGUUCAAUUGUGCAUUUUGAAUUUAGGACUUAGACUUGUGAACUGAAAGAGGGAAUAUAGCUGGCAGUGUUUUGGCUUCAUUCAGCAAACACUUGCAGGAAUUUAGAGCUGAAUGUGAUGAAAAGAAAAAGAAAAACAAAAUUCAUCCAUGCAUUGACUCCUACAAUUACGAAGUCACCAUAUGGAAUUGAGUAUCAGGCUAAAAAAGCAUUUUUCAGAAACAUUUUAGAUGCUGUUAAAAAAAUAAUUUGAAAAAAACUAUUUUG
RNAcentral lists this unclassified non-coding RNA (412 nucleotides) under Hevea brasiliensis (rubber tree). Lineage: Eukaryota; Viridiplantae; Streptophyta; Magnoliopsida; Malpighiales; Euphorbiaceae. The record is from RNAcentral.